This 478-nucleotide ribosomal RNA is filed under the name uncultured bacterium. RNAcentral describes it as "partial 16S ribosomal RNA". It matches the Rfam family "Bacterial small subunit ribosomal RNA", at positions 28 to 523 of the family's 1533-position model. The record is from RNAcentral.
GGCGAACGCUGGCGGCAUGCCUAACACAUGCAAGUCGAGCGAGCAGAUCCCUUCGGGGUGAAGCUAGCGGCGGACGGGUGAGUAACACGUGGGCAACCUACCUCAUAGAGGGGAAUAGCCUUCCGAAAGGAAGAUUAAUACCGCAUAAGAUUGUAGCUUCGCAUGAAGCAGCAAUUAAAGGAGCAAUCCGCUAUGAGAUGGGCCCGCGGCGCAUUAGCUAGUUGGUGAGGUAACGGCUCACCAAGGCGACGAUGCGUAGCCGACCUGAGAGGGUGAGCGGCCACAGUGGGACUGAGACACGGCCCAGACUCCUACGGGAGGCAGCAGUGGGGAAUAUUGCACAAUGGGGGAAACCCUGAUGCAGCAAUGCCGCGUGAGUGAUGACGGCCUUCGGGUUGUAAAGCUCUGUCUUCGGGGACGAUAAUGACGGUACCCGAGGAGGAAGCCACGGCUAACUACGUGCCAGCCGCCGCGGUAA